Molecule: ribosomal RNA, 245 nt
Filed under: uncultured Lachnospiraceae bacterium
Lineage: Bacteria; Bacillati; Bacillota; Clostridia; Lachnospirales; Lachnospiraceae
Description: partial 16S ribosomal RNA
Rfam family: Bacterial small subunit ribosomal RNA
Source: RNAcentral
UACGUAGGGGGCAAGCGUUAUCCGGAUUUACUGGGUGUAAAGGGAGCGUAGGUGGUAAGGCAAGCCAGAAGUGAAAAUCCGGGGCUCAACUCCGGAACUGCUUUUGGAACUGUCCUACUUGAGUGCAGGAGAGGUAAGCGGAAUUCCUAGUGUAGCGGUGAAAUGCGUAGAUAUUAGGAGGAACACCGGUGGCGAAGGCGGCUUACUGGACUGUAACUGACACUGAGGCUCGAAAGCGUGGGUAG